GACGAACGCUGGCGGCGUGCCUAACACAUGCAAGUCGAACGGUGAAGGGACCAGCUUGCUGGUUCUGGAUGAGUGGCGAACGGGUGAGUAACACGUGAGUAACCUGCCCCCUUCUUCUGGAUAACCGCAUGAAAGUGUGGCUAAUACGGGAUAUUCUGGGUCUGUCGCAUGGCGGGCCCGGGAAAGAUAUUGCUUCGGUGGGGGAUGGGCUCGCGGCCUAUCAGCUUGUUGGUGGGGUGAUGGCCUACCAAGGCGGUGACGGGUAGCCGGCCUGCGAGGGUGGACGGUCACACUGGGACUGAGACACGGCCCAGACUCCUACGGGAGGAAGCAGUGGGGACUAUUGCACAAUGGGCGCAAGCCUGAUGCAGCGACGCCGCGUGAGGGAUGGAGGCCUUCGGGGUGUAAACCUCUUUCGCCAGUGAAGCAGGCCUGCUCCUUGUGGGUGGGUUGACGGUAGCUGGAUAAGAAGCGCCGGCUAACUACGUG
This 489-nucleotide ribosomal RNA is filed under the name uncultured bacterium. Its description in RNAcentral is "partial 16S ribosomal RNA". It matches the Rfam family "Bacterial small subunit ribosomal RNA", at positions 28 to 507 of the family's 1533-position model. The record is from RNAcentral.